RNAcentral lists this ribosomal RNA (469 nucleotides) under Pseudomonas koreensis. RNAcentral describes it as "bacterial SSU rRNA". It matches the Rfam family "Bacterial small subunit ribosomal RNA", at positions 20 to 484 of the family's 1533-position model. Lineage: Bacteria; Pseudomonadati; Pseudomonadota; Gammaproteobacteria; Pseudomonadales; Pseudomonadaceae. The record is from RNAcentral.
CUGCUCAGAUUGAACGCUGGCGGCAGGCCUAACACAUGCAAGUCGAGCGGAUGAAGUGAGCUUGCUCAUGGAUUCAGCGGCGGACGGGUGAGUAAUGCCUAGGAAUCUGCCUGGUAGUGGGGGACAACGUUUCGAAAGGAACGCUAAUACCGCAUACGUCCUACGGGAGAAAGCAGGGGACCUUCGGGCCUUGCGCUAUCAGAUGAGCCUAGGUCGGAUUAGCUAGUUGGUGAGGUAAUGGCUCACCAAGGCUACGAUCCGUAACUGGUCUGAGAGGAUGAUCAGUCACACUGGAACUGAGACACGGUCCAGACUCCUACGGGAGGCAGCAGUGGGGAAUAUUGGACAAUGGGCGAAAGCCUGAUCCAGCCAUGCCGCGUGUGUGAAGAAGGUCUUCGGAUUGUAAAGCACUUUAAGUUGGGAGGAAGGGUUGUAGAUUAAUACUCUGCAAUUUUGACGUUACCGACAG